Molecule: small nucleolar RNA, 85 nt
Organism: Lycium barbarum (goji berry)
Lineage: Eukaryota; Viridiplantae; Streptophyta; Magnoliopsida; Solanales; Solanaceae
Source: RefSeq, a predicted model, not a curated record
AAGCCAAUGCUGAUUUAUUGAAUAUUUUGGAAUUACCGUCUGAACACUUACAUUGAUGUCAAUUCGGCUGUAUCUGAGGCUUCCU